GACGAACGCUGGCGGCGUGCUUAACACAUGCAAGUCGAACGGAAAGGCCCUGCUUUUGUGGGGUGCUCGAGUGGCGAACGGGUGAGUAACACGUGAGUAACCUGCCCUUGACUUUGGGAUAACUUCAGGAAACUGGGGCUAAUACCGGAUAGGAGCUCCUGCCGCAUGGUGGGGGUUGGAAAGUUUCGGCGGUUGGGGAUGGACUCGCGGCUUAUCAGCUUGUUGGUGGGGUAGUGGCUUACCAAGGCUUUGACGGGUAGCCGGCCUGAGAGGGUGACCGGCCACAUUGGGACUGAGAUACGGCCCAGACUCCUACGGGAGGCAGCAGUGGGGAAUAUUGCACAAUGGGCGGAAGCCUGAUGCAGCAACGCCGCGUGCGGGAUGAAGGCCUUCGGGUUGUAAACCGCUUUCGCCUGUGACGAAGCGUGAGUGACGGUAAUGGGUAAAGAAGCACCGGCUAACUACGUG
This 468-nucleotide ribosomal RNA is filed under the name uncultured bacterium. RNAcentral describes it as "partial 16S ribosomal RNA". It matches the Rfam family "Bacterial small subunit ribosomal RNA", at positions 28 to 507 of the family's 1533-position model. The record is from RNAcentral.